GAUGAACGCUGGCGGCGUGCCUAAUACAUGCAAGUCGAGCGAACAGACGAGGAGCUUGCUCCUCUGACGUUAGCGGCGGACGGGUGAGUAACACGUGGAUAACCUACCUAUAAGACUGGGAUAACUUCGGGAAACCGGAGCUAAUACCGGAUAAUAUAUUGAACCGCAUGGUUCAAUAGUGAAAGACGGUUUUGCUGUCACUUAUAGAUGGAUCCGCGCCGCAUUAGCUAGUUGGUAAGGUAACGGCCUACCAAGGCAACGAUGCGUAGCCGACCUGAGAGGGUGAUCGGCCACACUGGAACUGAGACACGGUCCAGACUCCUACGGGAGGCAGCAGUAGGGAAUCUUCCGCAAUGGGCGAAAGCCUGACGGAGCAACGCCGCGUGAGUGAAGAAGGUCUUCGGAUCGUAAAACUCUGUUAUUAGGGAAGAACAAAUGUGUAAGUAACUAUGCACGUCUUGACGGUACCUAAUCAGAAAGCCACGGCUAACUACGUG
This 497-nucleotide ribosomal RNA is filed under the name uncultured bacterium. RNAcentral's name for it is "partial 16S ribosomal RNA". It matches the Rfam family "Bacterial small subunit ribosomal RNA", at positions 28 to 507 of the family's 1533-position model. The record is from RNAcentral.